CAGUUAUCGUUUAUUUGAUAGUACCUUNAUUACUUGGNAUACCUGUGGUAAUUCUAGAGCUAAUACAUGCUAAAAANCCUCGACUUCNNGGAAGGGGUGUAUUUAUUAGAUAAAAAACCAAUGCCCUCCGGGGCUCCGNUGGUGAUUCAUAAUAACUUAACGAAUCGCAUGGCCUUGCGCCGGCGAUGGUUCAUUCAAAUUUCUGCCCUAUCAACUUUCGAUGGUAGGAUAGUGGCCUACCAUGGUUUCUACGGGUAACGGGGAAUUAGGGUUCUAUUCCGGAGAGGGAGCCUGAGAAACGGCUACCACAUCCAAGGAAGGCAGCAGGCGCGCAAAUUACCCAAUCCCGACACNGGGGAGGUAGUGACAAUAAAUACUGAUGGAGAGUNUCUUUUGGAUUUUCUAGUCGGAAUGAGUACAAUUUAAAUCCCUUAACGAGGAACAAUUGGAGGGCAAGUCUGGUGCCAGCAGCCGCGGUAAUUCCAGCUCCAAUAGCGUAUAUUAAAGUUGUUGCAGUUAAAAAGCUCGUAGUUGAAACUUGGGCCUGGCUGGCCGGUCCGCCUCACCGCGUGCACUGGUCCGGCNCGGGCCNUUUCCUUCUGGGGAGCCNGCAUGCCCUUUAUUGGGUGUGCCGGGGAACCAGGACUUUUACUUUGAAAAAAUUAGAGUGUUCAAAGCAGGCCUAUGCUCGGAUACAUUAGCAUGGAAUAAUAGAAUAGGACGUNGUGGUUCUAUUUUGUUGGUUUCUAGGACCGCCGUAAUGAUUAAUAGGGAUAGUCGGGGGCAUCAGUAUUCAAUUGUCNAGAGGUGAAAUUCUUGGAUUUAUUGAAGACUAACUACUGCGAAAGCAUUUGCCAAGGAUGUUUUCAUUAAUCAGUGAACGAAAGUUAGGGGAUCGAAGACGAUCAGAUACCGUCGUAGUCUUAACCAUAAACUAUGCCGACUAGGGAUCGGACGGNGUUAUUAUUUNNGACCCGNNCGGCACCUUACGAGAAAUCAAAGUCUUUGGGUUCU
This 1014-nucleotide ribosomal RNA is filed under the name Ricasolia quercizans. RNAcentral describes it as "SSU rRNA". It matches the Rfam family "Eukaryotic small subunit ribosomal RNA", at positions 107 to 1115 of the family's 1831-position model. The record is from RNAcentral. Lineage: Eukaryota; Fungi; Ascomycota; Lecanoromycetes; Peltigerales; Lobariaceae.